GGGCCGGUAGCUCAGUUGGUUAGAGCAGCGGACUCAUAAUCCGUCGGUCCCAGGUUCGAGUCCUGGCCGGCCCA
RNAcentral lists this transfer RNA (74 nucleotides) under Solirubrobacteraceae bacterium. RNAcentral's name for it is "tRNA-Ile". It matches the Rfam family "tRNA". Rfam says of the family: Transfer RNA (tRNA) molecules are approximately 80 nucleotides in length. Their secondary structure includes four short double-helical elements and three loops (D, anti-codon, and T loops). The record is from RNAcentral. Lineage: Bacteria; Bacillati; Actinomycetota; Thermoleophilia; Solirubrobacterales; Solirubrobacteraceae. RNAcentral also lists the same sequence under 3 other names.